AUUGAACGCUGGCGGCAGUCCUAACACAUGCAAGUCGAACGAGUGGCGGACUGGCGAGUAAUGUCUGGGAAACUGCCUGAUGGAGGGGGAUAACUACUGGAAACGGUAGCUAAUACCGCAUAACAUCAGAUGUGCCCAGAUGGGUUUAGCUAGUUGGUGGGGUAAAGGCUCACCAAGGCGACGAUCCCUAGCUGGUCUGAGAGGAUGACCAGCCACACUGGAACUGAGACACGGUCCAGACUCCUACGGGCGGCAGCAGUGGGGAAUAUUGCACAAUGGGCGCAAGCCUGAUGCAGCAAUGCCGCGUGUAUGAAGAAGGCCUUCGGGUUGUAAAGUACUUUCAGCGGGGAGGCGUUACCCGCAGAAGAAGCACCGGCUAACUCCGUGCCAGCAGCCGCGGUAAUUC
Molecule: ribosomal RNA, 406 nt
Filed under: uncultured bacterium
Lineage: Bacteria
Description: partial 16S ribosomal RNA
Rfam family: Bacterial small subunit ribosomal RNA
Source: RNAcentral